CCUAAAAGUCGCUAGAAGUCGCUAAAUGACGUCAUCGCCUAAUUUGCAUAAUUGGUCACGCUAACGUAAUUGUAACCUACGUUGUUGGAGAGAGAAAUAACAUCAUGGAAGAGACAUAAACCCAAAGAUCGAAAGAAUUGGGAGAUUUUAACAACUUGGUGCCGUGACCCGGAUCUUUGGCGUGCUGAGGAGGGGCAGAUUUGGCCUGUGGUGAGAUCGUGGGGCGAGGCGAGCAGAGGACCGGUCCAAACAAAAGGUGGCUACGGACCUGGACCAACCGCUCACCACAAGCACAGCGGCCGAAGCAAAAUUAUAGUAAU
Oreochromis aureus is the source of this 320-nucleotide long non-coding RNA. NCBI's taxonomy places the organism in Eukaryota, Metazoa, Chordata, Actinopteri, Cichliformes, Cichlidae. The record is from Ensembl.